UUCUGAAUUUGCCAAACGAUGAAACUCCAAUAGGGAUUAUCGGAGAAGAUGACCGGAGUGUUUCAAGUCAUCUGAGUUGGCUAUACAUGUUGGCAAUUUGAAAUGUUCUGAUUGGUCUAUUUUGAAUUCGAUUAUGUGUGUUUUUUUGCUGAUUUCCACCAUGCGCUCUAUCAUGAUAGUUGUUGGAUUUGUCACACCAAUUAAUGAGGCUAGAUCCAACGCUCCGUGUUUUUUCUGAUUUUAUUUCUUUUUCCUUUUUUAUUUUAAAUUUGCAUUUUCUUUUAAAAUUCAU
Molecule: long non-coding RNA, 292 nt
Filed under: Lathyrus oleraceus (garden pea)
Lineage: Eukaryota; Viridiplantae; Streptophyta; Magnoliopsida; Fabales; Fabaceae
Description: Pisum sativum (pea) long non-coding RNA (PSAT_LNC039353)
Source: RNAcentral